CAAGAUUUUUUCAAAGCUGCUGUGUGGACGUACCGUGACUCUCCAAAGCCAACCGGAAACACAUGAUGGGCACAAACAACCAAACUACUGCGAAUAUCUCUGCAGCUGAAAUGGUCUGUGCGACACAGGAACAUUCUUCAGUGAUCCAAGAGGGUUCAACCAUCAUCCCUCAAAUGGUUGGGUUUCAAGAAGGUCGAGAGGGUCAUGUGAACAUGGACCUUUUCAAACAAGCAACUGCAUUUCUUCUCCAAGAAACCCAUCGACUAACACAGAGCUGUCAACCACAUGGUGAAUGGAGUACAGCAAUAUCAGGCGUCAUUAUUGGAGCAC
Molecule: long non-coding RNA, 330 nt
Organism: Notothenia coriiceps (black rockcod)
Lineage: Eukaryota; Metazoa; Chordata; Actinopteri; Perciformes; Nototheniidae
Exons: 3
Source: RefSeq, a predicted model, not a curated record